Molecule: ribosomal RNA, 274 nt
Filed under: uncultured bacterium
Lineage: Bacteria
Description: partial 16S ribosomal RNA
Rfam family: Bacterial small subunit ribosomal RNA
Source: RNAcentral
AUACAGAGGGUGCGAGCGUUAAUCGGAAUUACUGGGCGUAAAGCGUACGUAGGCGGUUGGUUAAGUUAGAUGUGAAAGCCCCGGGCUUAACAUGGGAACUGCAUUUAAAACUGGCGAACUAGAGUUGAGUAGAGGGGAGUGGAAUUUCAGGUGUAGCGGUGAAAUGCGUAGAGAUCUGAAGGAACACCAGUGGCGAAGGCGACUCCCUGGACUCGAACUGACGCUGAGGUACGAAAGCGUGGGUAGCAAACGGGAUUAGAAACCCUAGUAGUCC